AGAUGAGGGCGAUCUGGCUGAGACAUCUGUCAUCCCAUUGACCACCAGAGUUGAUUUGGCUGAUCUGGCUGGCUAGGUGGGUGUCCCCUUCUUCCUCACUACUCAGUGUGUCUCUCCGAAGCUGUAUGCUCAGCUGAAGAGGAUGACCUUCUCCCGUAGAGGGAGGACCAUUCUUAGGUCAAGGGUCUAUGAGUAGGGCGGCUCCCUGCUAGAAUCUUCAAACAAACUCUCAGGGUCCAUUUAUAGGAGAGCCUAGGCUAGUCAAGCUUCCAAGACUCCAGACACAUCAAAUGAGUGUGCCGCUUAUGGCAGUCUACCUUUCUUU
This 325-nucleotide small nuclear RNA is filed under the name Ursus americanus (American black bear). RNAcentral's name for it is "7SK RNA (ENSUAMG00000020314.1)". It matches the Rfam family "7SK RNA". Rfam says of the family: 7SK was discovered as an abundant small nuclear RNA in the mid-70s but a possible function has only recently been suggested. Two independent studies have found that 7SK RNA binds the CDK9/cyclin T complex (known as elongation factor P-TEFb). The record is from Rfam by way of RNAcentral. Lineage: Eukaryota; Metazoa; Chordata; Mammalia; Carnivora; Ursidae.